CCCUUAGAUGUCCUGGGCCGCACGCGCGUUACACUGAUGCAUUCAACGAGCUUAUAACCUUGGCCGAGAGGCCUGGGCAAUCUUGUUAACGUGCAUCGUGAUAGGGAUAGAUUAUUGAAAUUAUUAAUCUUGACCGAGGAAUUCCUAGUAAACGCAGAUCAUCAAUCUGCAUUGAUUACGUCCCUGCCCUUUGUACACACCGCCCGUCGCACCUACCGAUUGGAUGGUCCGGUGAAGCCUCGGGAUUGUGGUUCUUGCCGCUUUAUUGUGGCGUGACCGCGAGAACUUGUCUAAACCUUAUCAUCUAGAGGAAGGUGAAGUCGUAACA
RNAcentral lists this ribosomal RNA (328 nucleotides) under uncultured eukaryote. Its description in RNAcentral is "partial 18S ribosomal RNA". It matches the Rfam family "Eukaryotic small subunit ribosomal RNA", at positions 1470 to 1796 of the family's 1831-position model. The record is from RNAcentral.